CAAUCGAACCCGGAGAUAGCUGGUUCUCCCCGAAAUAGCUUUAGGGCUAGCGUCGGAAAGAACCUUAGUGAAGGUAGAGCACUGAAUGUGUGAUGGCCCCAUCCCGGGGUACUGAAUACAAUCAAACUGCGAAUGUCAUUAAGGAUGUCCGGCAGUCAGACUGUGAGUGAUAAGGUCCAUGGUCAAGAGGGAAACAGCCCAGACCGCCAGUUAAGGUCCCAAAAUACAGGCUAAGUGGAAAAGGAUGUGGGGAUGCCCAGACAACUAGGAGGUUGGCUCAGAAGCAGCCAUCCUUUAAAGAGUGCGUAACAGCUCACUAGUCGAGUGACCCUGCGCCGAAAAUGUACCGGGGCUAAGCCUGAUACCGAAACUGCGGAUUGUAGGAAACUAUAGUGGUAGGGGAGCGUUGUAUACGAGUAGAAGCCGUACCGUGAGGAGCGGUGGAUUGUAUAGAAGUGAGAAUGCCGGUGUGAGUAGCGAGAUGUAGGUGAGAAUCCUACACACCGAAAGCCCAAGGAUUCCAGGGGAAGGUUCGUCCGCCCUGGGUAAGUCGGGACCUAACGCGAGGCCGAAAGGCGUAGUGGAUGGAAAGCAGGCGAAAGAUUCCUGCACCCGUAUAUGGAGCGAAGGAGUGACGGAGACGGAUAGUGUGACCCUCUUAAUGGAUUGAGGGCGAAGCGAAGCGGCUGGUUACCAGGCAAAUCCGGUAACCAUAAGGCUAGAGCGUGACAGGUAAGCGAAAUCUUAGGAAAGUAGCGAAGCACAUGAUGACGGCUUCCAGGAAAAGCUUCUGGCAAUGCAUAUGCGGCCCGUACCAAAACCGACACAGGUGGGCAGGGAGAGAAUCCCGAGGUGAGCGAGAGAACUGUUGCCAAGGAACUCGGCAAAAUGACUCCGUAAGUUAGCGAGAAGGAGUGCUUAAGCAAUUAAGCCGCAGUGAAGAGGCCCAAGCGACUGUUUAACUAAAACACAGCUCUCUGCGAAGUCGCAAGACGAAGUAUAGGGGGUGACACCUGCCCGGUGCUGGAAGGUUAAGAGGAUCUGUUAAGAGCGAUCUGAAGCAGUGAUCCGAAGCCCCAGUGAACGGCGGCCGUAACUAUAACGGUCCUAAGGUAGCGAAAUUCCUUGUCAGGUAAGUUCUGACCCGCACGAAAGGUGUAACGAUUUGGGCGCUGUCUCGGCAGCAGACUCGGUGAAAUCUUAGUACCUGUGAAAAUGCAGGUUACCCGCAACUAGACGGAAAGACCCCAUGGAGCUUUACUGCAGCCUGAUAUUGAAUUCUGGUCAUACAUGUACAGGAUAGGUGGGAGACAAAGAGACGUGCACGCCAGUGUACGAGGAGUCGCCGUUGGGAUACCACUCUUGUGUGACCGGGGUUCUAACCUGGUAUCGAGAACAGGUACGGGGAGAGUGUCAGGUGGGCAGUUUGACUGGGGCGGUCGCCUCCCAAAGAGUAACGGAGGCGCCCAAAGGUACGCUCAGAUUGGAUGGAAACCAAUCGUCGAGUGCAAUUGCAGAAGCGUGCUUGACUGUGAGACUUACAAGUCGAACAGGGACGAAAGUCGGGAAUAGUGAUCCGGCGGUGCCGAAUGGAAGGGCCGUCGCUCAACGGAUAAAAGCUACCCUGGGGAUAACAGGCU
This 1640-nucleotide ribosomal RNA is filed under the name human gut metagenome. RNAcentral's name for it is "bacterial LSU rRNA". It matches the Rfam family "Bacterial large subunit ribosomal RNA", at positions 830 to 2483 of the family's 2925-position model. The record is from RNAcentral.